RNAcentral lists this long non-coding RNA (4301 nucleotides) under Equus caballus (horse). RNAcentral's name for it is "lncRNA (ENSECAG00000056466.1)". Lineage: Eukaryota; Metazoa; Chordata; Mammalia; Perissodactyla; Equidae. The record is from RNAcentral.
CCAUGAGCCAAGGAAUGACAAUAGCCUGUGGAGGGUGGAAAAGCCGAGGAAAUGGGUUCUCCCCUAGAACGUCCAGAAAGAGCACGGACCUGCCGACGUGUUGAUUCCAGCCCAGUGAAACUCAUUUUGGACUUCUGGACUGCAGAACUGUUUCUUCCCUGGAGCCUCCAUGUCGACCAGGAUCUUGACCUGAAGGAAGAGGAUUCUGUACCUCUCCUAUCUCUGAACAGACAUAAUUGCCUUUUUUAAAAAAUGGCGUUUUUAAAUAGCAUGAAAAAAAUGGCAAUACCUCGACAAGGUCAAGUGACCCUAGGGACAGCCACAAGUUGGUGACACAAGAGUGUUGGUGGGCCUGGCGUAAGGAAGGGACUUUCAGCCAAAGCAAGGAGGGCGUGUGCUGCAUCAGAGCAGAGAGAAGCAGAACCAUGAUGGGGCAGGAGGGGAAUGGCACAGAACAGUAUCAGUGUAGAAGCAGUGGCCUGAGGCUCUGAAGACAGCACAGCAGCACUCAAUGGGCCACCGUGCGCAGAGCCCCUGCUGUAAUAAAAAUAAUGGCUACUGUUUACUGACGUCUUCCUAGUGCCCAUCCUUGUGUUUUUUCCUGUCUGAAUUCCUCACCACCCUCUUUGAGUGAAGAAGUUAAAUCCUCUUUGCAGACAGGAGGAGACUAUGCCUCAGAAAGGCUAAGUGAUUUUUCCAGAGUCACAGAGAUGGUUAGUUGCAGCACUGGGAUUUUCAAGAAGGUGCGCCAGCUUCGUGGGCCCAGGAUCCUGUGCAGUCACCAGGUCUAACGCUCUGCAGUCGCCAUCUUGAAAUCUUUAAUGAUUUUUGAACAAGGUUGCCUUGCACUGGGUCCCACAAAUGAUGCUGCUGGUCCUGUCUGGCUGGCAGGUAGGCCUUCAAUAAUACCUGCAUCCAUUAGCCACAAUGCAUGAAGACGGACAGGAAUGGUAAAUAACUCACCAAGGGGAGAAAAUCAAACCUAAUGAAUGAGAUACACUAAUGAAAAACAAACCAAUAUGCCCCAUAGAAUCACAGGAAUGCUCAGAAUUGGGGGAAUCAGGAACUUAAGAAGAAUGGUUUUGGGGCUUUGCCAUAUUUAGCGAAUAAAAAUAGAGGAUGACCAGUGAAAUUUGAAUUUCAGUUAAUCAGAGAAACUGUGUUUAGAUAAAAAAUGAAUAAUUUUUUUUUUUAGCAUUUGGGACAUACUUAUACUAUAAAGUUACUUGGUGGUUUAUCUGAAAUUCAAAUCUAACUGAGUGUCCGUGUUUUAUCUGGCAAAGGUAUUUAGAACAGUAUUUGAAUGUCUAUAAGGAGUAAGCAGACCUAUAGGUUCUGCUCUGAUAGGGCUCAGGCUGUUGAUUGGGGCAGAAGAUAAUUUCGGGCCUAUGGGUGCCUACCUUAGUCUCCCACGUAUGCCAGGGCAGUUAGGAGGAGCCGAGACAUUUUCAGUGGGGCCACACCCUCCAGUGAAAGUCUAAGUGCCAAGGCCUGGCAAUGGCCCUCAGAGUCACAUAGACUCCAGAGACCAUGAAGUCCUGUGACUUCCUCUUCAUUAUGGUCCUUCUCAUCUUGGAACUUUGAUGUCCUGGUUCUGGGCUGUGGAAGGUGGUGGUAUUCUCCCUGGUGACUUUUAGUCACUGGAUUCAAGCUCCACCCACAGUCAGGGAUGUAGGGGAUUCCUUCCCAGCACAGGGGUAUCCCAGUCCUCUGUCCCAGAGCCCCAGCUCAGAGCUUCCCUUCCAGUGGGCAACCCAGGCUUUGGGAGUAGGGGAGGCUGGGUGUUUGGCCAACAGGAUCUGAGUUCUUUGUGAGUGCUUCGUCUGGAAUCUGUCUGGCCCCCAGAACUUCUCCUCUGCCUAAAUGGCUCUGUAUCCUUCCAUCUCUCUCUUAUUCUCCCUCUCCCUUCCUCUUAUUCUUUAUACUUCCUUCACUGUCUUACUCUUCACCUCUUUCUUUAUUUCUGUCUAUGUGUUGGAUUCCUUUUAAUCGGAUUCAUAUUCUUUGUCUCUUUCUCUCUGUGUGUCCCUUACUCUCUCUUCUCUGACUGCCUGUCUCUCAGUCUUCAUAGCGAUGGUUCCAUCUGUUUGUCUUUAAUUGCUCUCCCUCAUUUCUGUCACUCUUUGUUUCUGGGUGUCUUUGUCUUUCCCUGAGACAGAAGUAUCUGUUCAUGAGUCCUACACGUGCCCUCCUGAGCCAGUGACUUUUUCCUGAUGGGAUGAUGAGGCACCCUGACUACUCUCCCCUUGAGGCCCCUGGGCAUGGCUGCUCCCCUACAGCCUCUCUACCUUUCACCUCCUGAGAACGUGGCUCUUUACUGAGUUGGGGAACGUGGCCCCAUCUCACAGCAGAUGAGAAGGAUGAGAAAGCUGGAUUCUUUCCCCUCAAACCCACUCUCUCGUGCUAGCUGAUUCAGCCCCAUGAUGCCGUAUGACAGGCAGAGCCCAGGGAGAAGAGACACCACCCUGGCCUCCGUUGCAUCACAUGCAGGGACUCUGUUGACAUCUCAGACUCCAGAGAGAACGCCCUGCCCAGAAAGAGUGGUUCCUGCUGGAUCAGGGGCUAGGUGUCCAUUUCAGUUGGUGGGUUGGUCAGUUGGUGACCCAGUCAGUCCGUCCCUCAGUGCCACAUGCCACCAGCUACAAGCACUGUUUAAGGGGACACUGGUGAGAAGGAAUCAGAUGCCCCUUCAGGAGGUGCAUUGACAGCUGAGAUGUGGGAGGGGUUGGUUUCUGUGGCAAAGCACGGAGCCAGGGCUGGAGUCUCACAGCAUGAGGGUGACAUCCAGAGCUUCCUACAACCUGCUCAUCCGCUUUGUCCAGUUGAGGUGAAGCCUGGAAGUGUCCAGGCAAGUCUGGCAAGGGCAGGAGACUCUCCCCCUGCACUAACAUGAAAAGAACUGCUAGUGCAAAGAUGACCUCGGGGGCUGUGAGGGCAGGUGUGGGAACAUGUGUGUCCCCAUGAAACCUAAAGAGGGGUCCAGGCUCAGAUCAACGUCCCCCGUCCAUCUUCCACUCCAUCCAGACCCAUGUGAAGGGGUUCUCUGCCCUGCCACCUCUGCCUGGCUUCCCUGUCCGUCAGUCUCAUCCCCACUUCCAGUCCUGCAGCAAGGAGCCUCAAAGAGUUACUAGCUUAGUGGAGGUUCUGCUAGAAACAGACUUGAGCCAAGGCCUUGAAUGCUCCCAGGAGAGACAAAGGGAUGAGCAAAAGAAGCCAAGCCAUUUGGGAGGAAGUCCCCACCUCAGCCUGGUCCCACAAGGAUCUUUGGAGCACAAAACAGGGAUUUUGUACUCCCACACUGGUCAGCCAUUGUCCAAGAGCUGAGGGGAGGGGACAUAAACUCCCAGACACUUCUGGUUCUCCAUCUGGGCAAGGAGACGCCUCUGAAGGAAGUCUCAGGGUGAACCCAUAGCAGCAAAACAAUAAUCCGGGUCAUGGUCAUACAGAGACAAUGAAAGGUGUGGAAGGAACCUGAGCAUGGCAUCCACCGUGUUCAAUGCAGUCAGUCACCUGGGGCAAGGCUUCCGUCUCAGACAUCUUUGGUGUGGGCCCUGGAAGAGAGAGCAGCUUUGAAUGGUUCAGGAAGUAGCUUCCGGACUAUAACCUGCAGCCCUGCUCUGUCUAGGAGAAGGCUGGAAGAUGUCCGGUGGCACCAGCAGCUGCAGAAGCUCCUCCUACAGAGAUGAACGUGUCAACGACAACCAGUGCAGGGGCUUUUUCAAGUGUUGCGAGGUCCUGUGUAGGAGGAAAUGUGUUUAUCCCACAGCAGACAGAUUGAUGCCAGUGUGAUGAAGCUGAGGAUUCCUGGUGUCCAGGGAGUCCACUUCCCACACAAGCCUGAGGUAUCCGCAGUCCCCGCUGAAGCCUUGGUGCUGCCACGGAUGCUUCCUCUGUGCCCGGUCCUUUGUGUAUUCCUGGCACCCAGAAAAGGGCUGGGCACGGAAAAUGUGUUUUGACCAGAGAACAAAUAAAAGCACACGCUUCUGUCGGCAUACCUGGCGUCUGUGAUUCACAGAGUCUCGCCUGGUGGCUGGGAGUGGGUGGGGAGCGUGGAGACUCUCCCACAGCAUGAAUCCUCACACUCAUGGACAUGGUUUUUGUCUAAGCUAUAGAUCUAGAAUUCAAAUUGCUUCUAGGUUUUUCCUUCAGGCAAGGCUAAGUUGUUCUUGUAGAAAAAACCGAGGAACUCUGCCAAAUAGAUGGACCAAGUUACCCUCUUACCUGCAGUGUAUAUGGGUCUCUGUUUCCCUGUAACUUAAUCAAUAAUGUGUUUCUGACUUUAAAAUCCUUCUCAAGCCGGU